AAUUGACGGGGGCCCUGCACAAGCGGUGGAGCACGUGGUUUAAUUCGAUGAUAAGCGAAGAACCUUACCUGGGCUUGACAUACUAGCAGUAGGAGCCAGAGAUGGUAACGACCCCUACUUUUGGUAGGGGAACUAGUACAGGUGAUGCAUGGCUGUCGUCAGCUCGUGUCGUGGGACGUUGGGUUAAGUCCCGAAACGAGCGCAACCCCUGUUGUUAGUUGCCAGCGGGUAAUGCCGGGGACUCAACAAGACUGACUGGUGAAUAGCCGGAGGAAGGAGGGGAUGACGUCAAGUCAUCAUGUCCCUUAUGUCCAGGGCGACACACAUGCUACAAUGGGAGGUACAAAGGGCUGCUAAACCGUAAGGUCAUGCGAAUCCCAGAAAGCCUUCCUUAGUUCGGAUUGAGGUCUGCAACCCGACCUCAUGAAGCCGGAAUCGCUAGUAAUCGCAGGUCAGCCACACUGCGGUGAAUAUGUACUCAGGGCUUG
This 488-nucleotide ribosomal RNA is filed under the name uncultured bacterium. Its description in RNAcentral is "bacterial SSU rRNA". It matches the Rfam family "Bacterial small subunit ribosomal RNA", at positions 908 to 1383 of the family's 1533-position model. The record is from RNAcentral.